Molecule: long non-coding RNA, 1276 nt
Filed under: Oncorhynchus kisutch (coho salmon)
Lineage: Eukaryota; Metazoa; Chordata; Actinopteri; Salmoniformes; Salmonidae
Description: lncRNA (ENSOKIG00005050099.1)
Source: RNAcentral
UGGUUCACUCCUUUCCUUUUGAUCUUUGAUGAUAGUUAUUGUACAACAUCCACUGUUUUUUGUGGUUGCAGUUGUUUUAGUGAGGCGUAUGGCAGAGAGUGCUUGGCAACUGCAGUGAAGCUUCUUGAGAAGAUCUGCAAAGGAGUCCGAUCCACUUCAACCUACACGCAGAACUUCACAGACAUCCCUGUGGCAUGCAUGAACAUGGUUGUCUCAAUAUCUGAGUUUGCCCGGGCCUUUGAGUCACAGGCAACUAAGGAUGUGGAAAGAGAGCAUAUGCAUGCCAAGGAGCUGGAUCUGCUAUCCGGAACUGACUAGUUCAGACCAUAGAACAAUAUUUACUAGAACGGACAUUCCCAUUUAAGUCAAUUGUCUGUCAUGGGUGGACCGGUGGCCAUAUUGAGUGUACCCAUGAGUGUUCCAGACAAAUUGCUGUGGUUUGAGGGUCUUUGUCCAUUCUAGUAGUUGUAUUUCUAUGGUUGAGACAUUUCCGAAAAAGGAUGGAAAUAACUUAUCAUUCCUUUCAAGGCAACUAAGGAUGUGGAAAGAGAGCAUAUGCAUGCCAAGGAGCUGGAUCUGCUAUCCGAGGCGAUGGUGAUCGUCAGAUCCUGGAUCGGCACAACCUUCAGAGACCGGUUGCUAGCCAGGAGUGUGACCACCUUGUACCUCAGUGUAAAUGUCACCACAGAGAUAGAGAUGUGGAACAACAUAAUCUCUCUCAAGUUCGCCAAUGACGAUUUCACAAAAGAAUGGAGACAAACGUUCACUAGGGACUUGGAGGGCAAAUUGAAACAGGUAUGAAACUUCCACACAUACAGUAGAAUUGAGAUCAGACUGAAAUAUCCAUUGGUGAAAUGACUGAAAUACCUUUUCUGCACUUCUAGGAGUCUCCUCUGGAUCAGAUAGAGAUCUACUGUUCCAAGAUUGAGGUCCUGAAUGAAUCUCACCCUCACGUAGCCAAGACUAUCGAGAAAUGUGCCCUAGAAGCUGUCACCUCACUGUGCCAGGUAAGUAGACUGGUUACACUUGACUUAAAUACAGAUUCAAUAUACAGUACCAGUCAAGUUUGGACAAAACUACUCAUUCCAGGGUCUUUCUUGAUUUGCACUAUUUUCUACAUUGUAGAAUAAUACUGAAGACAUCAAAACUAUGAAAUAACACAUGGAAUCAUGUAGUAACCAAAAAAGUGUCAAACAAAUCAAAAAGCUGUCAUCAAGGAAAAGGGUGGCUACUUUGAAGAAUCUCUACUUUAAAAUAUAUUUUGAUUUGUUUAACA